UACAGAGGGUGCAAGCGUUAUUCGGAAUUACUGGGCAUAAAGAGCGCGUAGGCGGUCUGAUAAGUCCGAUGUGAAAGCCCUGGACUCAAUCCAGGAAGUGCAUCGGAUACUGUCAGACUAGAGUACAGGAGGGGAGAGCGGAAUUCCUGGUGUAGAGGUGAAAUUCGUAGAUAUCAGGAGGAACAACAGUGGCGAAGGCGGCUCUCUGGACUGUUACUGACGCUGAGGCGCGAAAGCGUGGGGAGCAAACAGG
Molecule: ribosomal RNA, 253 nt
Filed under: uncultured bacterium
Lineage: Bacteria
Description: partial 16S ribosomal RNA
Rfam family: Bacterial small subunit ribosomal RNA
Source: RNAcentral